Molecule: long non-coding RNA, 6270 nt
Filed under: Gossypium barbadense (sea-island cotton)
Lineage: Eukaryota; Viridiplantae; Streptophyta; Magnoliopsida; Malvales; Malvaceae
Description: long non-coding RNA (GBAR_LNC006739)
Source: RNAcentral
AUCUUCACUAGAGGAAGAGGUAAGCAUUGAAGAAUGCUGCAUCUUUCGUGGAAGCUUCGUCAAACUAAACGCAAAAACUGGGAAAAUCUUGUGGCAAACCUUCAUGUUACCCGACAAUUUCGGCAACCGUGACAAAUAUGCCGGCGCUGCCAUCUGGGGCAGCAGCCCGCCGAUCGAUGUCACUAGGAACCUCGUCUACGUUGCCACUGGCAACCUCUAUUCUGCACCCCAAAACGUAAUCGAUUGCCAAGAGAGACAAAACAAUCAAACCCAAGUUGCUCCUACUCAUUCCGAUGAGUGUGUGGAGCCUGAAAACCACUCAGAUUCAUUCCUGGCCCUUGAUUUGGACACUGGAGACAUCAAGUGGUUCCAUCAACUUGGGGGCUAUGAUGUUUGGUUUUUCGCCUGUUUUAAUAUUUCAGUCCCUGAUUGUCCUCCCGGAGGACCAAACCCUGAUGCUGAUUUUGGUGAAGCACCCAUGAUGCUCACCAUAUACGUCAAUGGAACUACAAAAGACAUUGUUGUUGCUGUUCAAAAAAGUGGAUUUGCGUGGGCUUUGGAUCGUGAUGAUGGCAACAUUAUAUGGUCUACCGUAAGAUAUCUGAACCCUUUUUUUUUUUUUAUAUAUAUCAAGUUGUGAAAAACAAUGAUUAUAUUAGGCUUUAAAUGGUGAUGUAGGAAGCUGGACCUGGUGGUCUCACAGGAGGCGGAAUAUGGGGGGCGGCCACCGAUGAAAAGCAUGUCUACACCAACAUAGCCAACCCCGACGGUAAAAACUUCACUUUAAAACCAUCAACAAGGAACACGACUGGCGGUGGAUGGGUGGCAAUGGAUGCUACUAAUGGCCAAGUUCUUUGGUCAACAGCCGACCCUACUAAUGGUACGGUAAGUGGACCGGUGACCGUAGCAAAUGGAGUGGUAUUUGGAGGUUCGACAUACAAAGAAUGACCAGUGUAUGCAAUGGAUGGUAAGAGUGGGGAAAUUUUAUGGACAUAUAACACAGGGGCCACUGUUUUUGGUGGUAUGUCAGUCAACGAUGGGUGUAUUUACGUAGGUCAUGGAUAUAGGGUUAGUUUUGGUUUCUUUAAUCCGAGCAUCACUGCUGGGAACACACUCUUUGCUUUUUGCAUAUCUUGAGUUACCACCCAAACAUCAAAUUAAUUAUCUGUAAUAAAUACAUGCUGCUAUUUUUAGUUUGUAACUUGAAUAGCAGAGUCUGUGGCAAUGGUGCCUAAACUUUUAUAGUGUGAUUAGUUUUUUAAAUAUUUUAUUGAUUAUUAAAUUUUUUUAUUAAAUUUAAUUUAAUUAUAAUGUCAUUUUUGUCUCAUGGAUAUGAAGGUAGUAUAUAUUUUUUUAAUUUCAAUAUGUCCAACCAAUAAAUUUAACGUAAGAAUUUUAAUAGCGUUAAUAAAUAGACUUAAAUUUUAAAGUUCGAAAAAUAAAGAGAUUAAAUUUCUGAAAAUAAAAAUAUGAAAAUUAAAUUUUAAAUUCAUGAAAGAACUCACAACACCUUUAAGCAUAUUGUAUACUUUAAAAUUAUAUUCUAUAAUUUAUUAAAAAAAAUCAACCCAACACGUGGGAAGGGACCAUACUAGUUUAAAAAAAAUUUAAUGUAUCAUCCAAACAACUUUGCUUGUUUUAUAUAACAAAAUGAAUUAUUAAUGUCAUCAUUUUCGUAUACUAAACGUUUUAAACAUUAGAUUAGAAAAAUCAAAUAUGAUUCAAGGAAGUAUAUUACAAUAUAAAAUUCGAAUAAAUAUUAUUGAUUUUUAAAUUAGAUUGAUGAUUGAAUAGAUAAAGUUAUUAGUUCGAAAAAUAAUAAAAAAAUAUUCGAUUUAAUCAAUUUAAAGUUAUUUUUCGAACACAUAUAAUUCAAACAACAUUGAUAAAUAUGAUAAUUGGUCUAGAGGAAUAUAAUAAGUUAUUAUGAUUAAUGUUCAAAAUUUGUGAUUACUCUUCUAAUAAUAUUGUUUUCAAUAUUGGGACUGGUGUUGUCCUUUUAGAGUAUAAAUGUGAUAAUUUAAUUUUUUUUAAUGUUUUUAUCAUUGGGUUUUAUUAAAGUCUAAGCAUUACUAAGAAUGGAGUAAGUAGGAUAAAAGAGUUGACUUUAACAAAGCACGCAAAUUAAAGUUAUAAUUGACUAAGAUGACUUGUAAUUUAAAAAGUAAAAAAGAAAUUAAUUAUAUGUUAAUUUAAUAUCGAGAAAAUAAUAUUAAAUUUAGCCUUUAAUGUUUAUAUUUUUUUGUUAAUUUGGUUUCUUUUUUCCUUUAGCUAAAUUUGGCCCUAAGUCAAAUUAUUUUUUAAAUAAAAAUACUUACUGAAACAUUAAAUUUUUAAAUAUGACAACCCAUAUGACAAUUUACAUUUACUUCUACUUUUUUUUGAAUUUUUUUGAAUUUUUUAUAUAUUUUUUGAAUUUUUAAAAGUUUUAAUUUAUUUAUUGAUGACGCAUAUAAAAUAAAUAAUGUCAUAUCAACAUAAAGUACAUGUAAAUUAUCACGUGAGAUGCCACACUAUCAUUAUUAAAAAAUGAUGUUUUAAUUAGCAUUUUUGUUAGAAAAAAAUCCAUUUCACUCUUUUUUUUAGGAGGUCGAGGGCUAAUUUUAACUCAAAAAAAAAAAAGAUCAAAUAGAUAGUAAAUGUAAACAUUGAAAGCUAAAUUUAGGAUUACGCCCUUAUAUAAACUUUAAAGCUUUGUUUGGCAUGGGUGGAAAGAAAUUGGAAAGAGAAGGAAUUGAAAUAGUAGAAAAAUAGAAUGAAAAAAAGUAUAAUUUUUCUUUUCAUAAGUGUACUUAGUAGAAAAGAUAGAAAAACGGAAAGAAAAAAAAUCUUUCUAUUCAUUGUUUGAUAGAGCUGAAAAAUGAUUAGAAAGAAAAUGAACCUUUUAAAAAUUACAAAAUUUUUAAUUAAUAUUAUCAAUUUUCUUAAUUUUUUUCCGUCCUUACUAAACACAUUCAAUUUUUUCCACUUUCUCCUCUUACUUUUCUAUUCAACCAAACAAACCCUAAAACUUUGAUAAUAUAAAACAUUUGCAUUACUUAAUUAUUUGGAGUAAAAAUAUUAUAAAGUCAAAAUUUCAAUUUUUUAAUAUAUGAAAAGAAAACAUAAAAUAAAAUCUUGCAAACAUCAAGGUAUCAAUUGUCAGAUCCUGUUUUGUCUCCUAACAUUCUGUAUAAAUAAAGAUUUUGAUAAUAAAAACAGCAUAAAGACUCAAAUUUAAUGGAGUUUGUUCUCUUACUAUGCCUUCUUUCUUCACUGGUUUUUACACCAGCAUAUUCAAAUGUAAGUCUCAAAACCUCUUUUUUUUUUUCUUUCUUAAUCAUAUAUAUAGGCAUAUAUACAUAUGCAUAUAAAAAAAAUUACACAUAGCAUAUAUAAACAUAAAAACCUUUAGUGAUGUUAAACCCUAAAUUUUCUAUAGUUUUGUAUUUGAAUCAAGUUUUUUUCUCAAUAAUUGCCAAUUAGUGUUACACUCAUUUGCUUCACAUGCUUUUCAAAAUAUUGCAUGUUAGAUGGAUUAGAGGGUUUUUGGCCCUUCAAAAUUAGUGCUACUAAACUUUAGAAAAUUUUACUAAAACCCUCUAAAAUUUUCGAAAAUUCUCAAUUUUUAAAUAAAAUUUAAUGAAAUCCUUUUUUUAAAAUUCUCAUUAAACACCAAGUUUUUUUGGAAGUUUUAAUCAAACCCCAAAACCCAAAACUUAAUGCUACCUUUUGCCACUGAUUGUGUUUUAGUUAAAUCUGGAAUCACUUGGUGUAGGACUGGUUAAGCCAUGGUGGGAACCUACUGAACAGGAGAUUUGCGGAGAAAGAAACCAAAAUAAGCCCCGAAACAGUAUCGAAGCUGAGAUUGAAAUGGAAAUUCGAAGCAGGAAGGGACAUAACAGCAACACCAUCGGUUUUUAAAGGAAGAGUUUAUUUCCCAAGUUGGGAUGGUUAUCUUUAUGCAGUGAAACAAUCCGAUGGCUCUCUUAUUUGGAAACAAAAUUUACAACAGUUGACCGGCAUUAAUUCAACAAGAGUUAUUUUCAAUGUUAAUGUCACAGCUUCAAGAACAACACCCACAAUUGCUGAUGAUUUGUUGAUCAUUGGGAUCAGUGGACCAGCUUUUGUUGUUGCAGUGAAGCAAUCCAACGGGGAGCUUGUUUGGUCUACCCAGCUCGAUGACCAUCCAACUGCUGUUAUCACCAUGUCUGGAACUUAUUAUAAUGGGUUAGUUAUUUUAACUUUAUUUUUUUAACUUCGUUUACGAUUUAUGUUUAGAGUUUUUAGUUGACAUGUAGAGUCGGCAUAGAUUUUAACUCUAUGUUGACAUAAUGAUUUUUCUUUUAUAAUCUUCAGAUGACAUAAUGUUGUGAUUUUAUAAAUAAAAGAAUUAGGCAUAUCAAUCAUUGUUGGCAAUUAAAAUAGAAACAUGAAAUCAGUUUUGUUUAUUAUUCUAUUAUUUGAACAACAAAAUUCUGAGCUUUGCUUUCUUUAUUGUUAGAUAAACACUUGGCCUGCAACAUAUACACUCAUCAACUUGGUCUUCAAUUUGUUUCUGACAUUUUAGGCAUAAGUGGAUGUUAUUUGUUGAUAAAUAAUCGAAAAGUCAAAUGUAAGGCUAUCUUUUAUUUUCUUUGGCUAACUGUUUUAGUCGGUUGUAUUAUUAUAUCUCAAUUUUCCAAUAUUUUUAUGGUAAAUUAUAAAAGAAGUAAUACAAUUAUUAGUAAUUCUUUUUUGUUGCUCGACUAUGAAAAUUUAUAAAAUUGUCAUCCAAUUAUUUAAUUUUAUCGUUUGUUGUCACGGUUGACUAACAAUGGGCUUUUAAAAUUGACAUAAUAGUAAUUUUAACCUUCAACAUUUACAUAUUGUGUAAUUUAGUCUCUCAUUUUUUGCAGUUUUGCUUUCUUUUCUUUUUUUUUUGUGGCACCAGGGGUUAAUUUUAAAAAAAUGAGAAAAGGUGAAAACUAUUAUCUUGGGUUUAUGGCUGUUUUCAUUUUUUUUUUGUAUAUUUUCAAUCAAAUUUAGUUGAUAAAUUUGUUUGUUUAGCUUUUUCGGUAAAGGGUCACAAAAAUAUGCAAAAAAAAGAUAAAAUUACACAAUGUGUAAAUAUUGAGGGUUAGAUUUUUUAGAAUCAAAACUAAAUUGACACAAUUUAUAAAUGUUGAAUAUUAAAGUUGUCAUUAUGCCAAUUUUAAAAGUUAUCACCAUUAGCCGCCCAAUGACCAAAAAAGAUGAAAUUGAAUAGUUAGGUGACCAAAAAAAGAAUUUACUAAUAGUUGGGUAACUAUUAAUGUAGUUUACCUUAUUUUUUAAUCUUAAUUUGCACUUAGGUUGCGCCUGUUUUGGUGAAAAUAGUUUCUAGAAAAUGAAUUAAUUUUAUUGGAAAAUCAAUAUUUUUUAGUAUUUGAAUAAUUAUAUGUAAAAUGUUUUUAGUUUUUUGGUAAAUUUUCUUAAAAUUGUCUUCUAAAAAUUGUUCUUAGUGAAUUAAACACAACAUAAAUAUAUCACUUACAAAAUAUUAUAAUAACAUUUCCUUUUGACAAUCAAAGUUUAUUUUAUAAUAAGAUUAUAUUUUAUAACAUUUACAUAUAUGAGAGUGGAUAGUGGAUGGUGAAGCAUUAAAAUUAGAAGAAAUAAAUGAAGCUAAACAUGGUUUAAAUUAAAAUAAUUAUAUUUUAUACUAUAAAGAAUCUAUAAAUUGUAAUAUAUAUUAGUAUUAGAAUGUUAACAUAAUAUUUUUUAAUAAUAUAUUAAUAAUAUUAUUUAAAAUUAUUAUAGUUAAUUUUAUUAUUAAAAUAAAAUUGUAAUAUUAAACAAUUUAUUAAAAUAAAAUAAAAUAUUAAUUAUAUUAAUACUUUAGUAUAUUAUUAAAUAUAAAUAAUUAAAUGCGUAUAUUUAAUAAUAUUAAAUAUUAUAAUAUUUGAUAUUAAUAUUUUAAUAUUUGUAGAAAUUAAAAUUAAAAAUAUAAUUCUAAAUCCUAAAUAUGGAUAGUAAAACAGGAACAUCACAUGUAAAUGCAUUUAUAGCUAAACAAUAAUGCAUAAUGUGGCGUUCAUUUGAUUUAAACUCAGGAACUUCUACGUGGGCACAUCUUCACAAGAAGAAGAGGUAAGCAUUGAGCAAUGUUGCACCUUUCGAGGAAGCUUGGUCAAACUAAACGCAAAAACUGGAAAAAUCUUGUGGCAAACCUUCAUGUUACCCGACAAUUUCGGCAAUCGAGGCGAAUAUGCCGGCGCUGCCAUCUGGGGCAGCAGCCCACCGAUCGACGUCACGAGGAACCUCGUCUAC